GAUGAACGCUAGCUACAGGCUUAACACAUGCAAGUCGCGGGGCAGCAUGGGGGUUGCUUGCAAUCCCCGAUGGCGACCGGCGCACGGGUGAGUAACGCGUAUCCAACCUGCCCUUCACCACGGGAUAACCCGGCGAAAGUCGGACUAAUACCGUAUGUUUUCCAUUGACGGCAUCCGAUUUGGACGAAAGGUUUGGCGGUGAAGGAUGGGGAUGCGUCCGAUUAGCUGGACGGCGGGGUGACGGCCCACCGUGGCGACGAUCGGUAGGGGUUCUGAUAGGAAGGUCCCCCACACUGGAACUGAGACACGGUCCAGACUCCUACGGGAGGCAGCAGUGAGGAAUAUUGGUCAAUGGGCGUAAGCCUGAACCAGCCAAGUAGCGUGCAGGAUGACGGCCCUAUGGGUUGUAAACUGCUUUUAUGCGGGGAUAAAGUGGCCCACGUGUGGGUUUUUGCAGGUACCGCAUGAAUAAGGACCGGCUAAUUCCGUG
Molecule: ribosomal RNA, 490 nt
Filed under: uncultured bacterium
Lineage: Bacteria
Description: partial 16S ribosomal RNA
Rfam family: Bacterial small subunit ribosomal RNA
Source: RNAcentral